UACGGAGGGUGCGAGCGUUGCUCGGAAUCACUGGGCGUAAAGCGUACGCAGGCGGACCGCUAAGUCGGGUGUGAAAGCCCGGGGCUCAACCCCGGAAUUGCAUUCGAAACUGACGGUCUUGAGUACGGGAGAGGGAGGUGGAAUUCCUGGUGUAGAGGUGAAAUUCGUAGAUAUCAGGAGGAACACCGGUGGCGAAAGCGGCCUCCUGGCCCGAUACUGACGCUCAUGUACGAGAGCGUGGGGAGCAAAC
RNAcentral lists this ribosomal RNA (250 nucleotides) under uncultured bacterium. RNAcentral's name for it is "partial 16S ribosomal RNA". It matches the Rfam family "Bacterial small subunit ribosomal RNA", at positions 524 to 773 of the family's 1533-position model. The record is from RNAcentral.